RNAcentral lists this ribosomal RNA (253 nucleotides) under uncultured bacterium. RNAcentral describes it as "partial 16S ribosomal RNA". It matches the Rfam family "Bacterial small subunit ribosomal RNA", at positions 524 to 776 of the family's 1533-position model. The record is from RNAcentral.
UACGAAGGGGGCUAGCGUUGCUCGGAAUCACUGGGCGUAAAGCGCACGUAGGCGGGUCUUUAAGUCAGGGGUGAAAUCCUGGAGCUCAACUCCAGAACUGCCUUUGAUACUGAGGAUCUUGAGUCCGGGAGAGGUGAGUGGAACUGCGAGUGUAGAGGUGAAAUUCGUAGAUAUUCGCAAGAACACCAGUGGCGAAGGCGGCUCACUGGCCCGGUACUGACGCUGAGGUGCGAAAGCGUGGGGAGCAAACGGG